RNAcentral lists this ribosomal RNA (1569 nucleotides) under Salmonella enterica subsp. enterica. Its description in RNAcentral is "bacterial LSU rRNA". It matches the Rfam family "Bacterial large subunit ribosomal RNA", at positions 1271 to 2823 of the family's 2925-position model. RNAcentral also lists the same sequence under 2 other names. Lineage: Bacteria; Pseudomonadati; Pseudomonadota; Gammaproteobacteria; Enterobacterales; Enterobacteriaceae. The record is from RNAcentral.
UGCUGGAGGUAUCAGAAGUGCGAAUGCUGACAUAAGUAACGAUAAAGCGGGUGAAAAGCCCGCUCGCCGGAAGACCAAGGGUUCCUGUCCAACGUUAAUCGGGGCAGGGUGAGUCGACCCCUAAGGCGAGGCCGAAAGGCGUAGUCGAUGGGAAACGGGUUAAUAUUCCCGUACUUGGUGUUACUGCGAAGGGGGGACGGAGAAGGCUAUGUUGGCCGGGCGACGGUUGUCCCGGUUUAAGCGUGUAGGUGUGUGUUCCAGGUAAAUCCGGUUCACUUUAACACUGAGGCGUGACGACGAGGCACUACGGUGCUGAAGCAACAAAUGCCCUGCUUCCAGGAAAAGCCUCUAAGCAUCAGGUAACAUCAAAUCGUACCCCAAACCGACACAGGUGGUCAGGUAGAGAAUACCAAGGCGCUUGAGAGAACUCGGGUGAAGGAACUAGGCAAAAUGGUGCCGUAACUUCGGGAGAAGGCACGCUGACAUGUAGGUGAAGUGAUUUACUCAUGGAGCUGAAGUCAGUCGAAGAUACCAGCUGGCUGCAACUGUUUAUUAAAAACACAGCACUGUGCAAACACGAAAGUGGACGUAUACGGUGUGACGCCUGCCCGGUGCCGGAAGGUUAAUUGAUGGGGUCAGCGCAAGCGAAGCUCCUGAUCGAAGCCCCGGUAAACGGCGGCCGUAACUAUAACGGUCCUAAGGUAGCGAAAUUCCUUGUCGGGUAAGUUCCGACCUGCACGAAUGGCGUAAUGAUGGCCAGGCUGUCUCCACCCGAGACUCAGUGAAAUUGAACUCGCUGUGAAGAUGCAGUGUACCCGCGGCAAGACGGAAAGACCCCGUGAACCUUUACUAUAGCUUGACACUGAACAUUGAGCCUUGAUGUGUAGGAUAGGUGGGAGGCUUUGAAGCGUGGACGCCAGUCUGCGUGGAGCCGACCUUGAAAUACCACCCUUUAAUGUUUGAUGUUCUAACGUGGACCCGUAAUCCGGGUUGCGGACAGUGUCUGGUGGGUAGUUUGACUGGGGCGGUCUCCUCCUAAAGAGUAACGGAGGAGCACGAAGGUUGGCUAAUCCUGGUCGGACAUCAGGAGGUUAGUGCAAUGGCAUAAGCCAGCUUGACUGCGAGCGUGACGGCGCGAGCAGGUGCGAAAGCAGGUCAUAGUGAUCCGGUGGUUCUGAAUGGAAGGGCCAUCGCUCAACGGAUAAAAGGUACUCCGGGGAUAACAGGCUGAUACCGCCCAAGAGUUCAUAUCGACGGCGGUGUUUGGCACCUCGAUGUCGGCUCAUCACAUCCUGGGGCUGAAGUAGGUCCCAAGGGUAUGGCUGUUCGCCAUUUAAAGUGGUACGCGAGCUGGGUUUAGAACGUCGUGAGACAGUUCGGUCCCUAUCUGCCGUGGGCGCUGGAGAACUGAGGGGGGCUGCUCCUAGUACGAGAGGACCGGAGUGGACGCAUCACUGGUGUUCGGGUUGUCAUGCCAAUGGCACUGCCCGGUAGCUAAAUGCGGAAGAGAUAAGUGCUGAAAGCAUCUAAGCACGAAACUUGCCCCGAGAUGAGUUCUCCCUGAGACUU